Molecule: ribosomal RNA, 485 nt
Filed under: uncultured Lactobacillus sp.
Lineage: Bacteria; Bacillati; Bacillota; Bacilli; Lactobacillales; Lactobacillaceae
Description: bacterial SSU rRNA
Rfam family: Bacterial small subunit ribosomal RNA
Source: RNAcentral
UAAUACGUAGGUGGCAAGCGUUGUCCGGAUUUAUUGGGCGUAAAGCGAGUGCAGGCGGUUCAAUAAGUCUGAUGUGAAAGCCUUCGGCUCAACCGGAGAAUUGCAUCAGAAACUGUUGAACUUGAGUGCAGAAGAGGAGAGUGGAACUCCAUGUGUAGCGGUGGAAUGCGUAGAUAUAUGGAAGAACACCAGUGGCGAAGGCGGCUCUCUGGUCUGCAACUGACGCUGGGGCUCGAAAGCAUGGGUAGCGAACAGGAUUAGAUACCCUGGUAGUCCAUGCCGUAAACGAUGAGUGCUAAGUGUUGGGAGGUUUCCGCCUCUCAGUGCUGCAGCUAACGCAUUAAGCACUCCGCCUGGGGAGUACGACCGCAAGGUUGAAACUCAAAGGAAUUGACGGGGGCCCGCACAAGCGGUGGAGCAUGUGGUUUAAUUCGAAGCAACGCGAAGAACCUUACCAGGUCUUGACAUCCAGUGCAAACCUAAGA